UCCCUGGUGGCUCAGAAGUUAAAGCAUCUGCCUCCAAUGCGGGAGACCCAGGUUUGAUCCCUGGUUCGGGAA
RNAcentral lists this transfer RNA (72 nucleotides) under Ovis aries (sheep). It matches the Rfam family "tRNA". From Rfam's summary of the family: Transfer RNA (tRNA) molecules are approximately 80 nucleotides in length. Their secondary structure includes four short double-helical elements and three loops (D, anti-codon, and T loops). The record is from Rfam by way of RNAcentral. Lineage: Eukaryota; Metazoa; Chordata; Mammalia; Artiodactyla; Bovidae.